UUUACUUGGUUAUAUUCUGUUAUUGGUUAUGACAUAAAAAUUUGCCAUCACAUCUGCUAUGUUAUUUAAUGCCUUUGUUCUUAUUUUGCAAUGAGGGGUUAAAAACACAAUCAGACCGCAGUUGCUUGUUUACACCAUUUUGCACUCAAAACCAAAAUGUAGUGCAUUUAUUUUAAUGCAUUUGUAAUAAAGAAACAUUAAUCAUCCUUCUAAUAUCAGACUUUAUUUGUAUAAUUUAAAAUUAAAGAGAAGUCCUAAAGGUAUUUUCCAUAAGUUUAGAGACUAAAACAUCUCUCAGAAAACAAAAUUAAAAUACAUUGUAUUUGUAAAAGCUACUUUUUGGGGGGGAAUUUUGAUGCAAAUUAUCUCAGUCAGACCUUUCAUAAUCAGAAAAAACCCAGAGCAAUUAUACUCUUUGUAAAGAGGUGAUGUCUCUUAUGCCAUGAUUUAUAACUGGUAUAACUGAUAAAGAGACCAGUUUUCUAGCUGAGAGUAAAUCAUGGUUAAUGGCUAUCCAUUUCAGUUAUUACACAUUUGUUGGGUAUUCUUGUAAUUUGGUUUUCUGUAUUUUCAGAAAUUAAAUCUUAUGCAUAGGGAUUUGAACUGUUGACUAGAAUAUUAUUUCUAGCACUAUUUGGUCUAAAAAAAAAAUAUAACACUGUGGAUCAGGAUUCAUAAUUUUCUGAAAAUAAAUUAUUCUCCCCCUCCAGCCCCAUAUACAAUGCAAACUUUCAUUAAAACACUUCUAGUGGGGUUCAUGAUGUUACACACGUGCUUACUAGUCUGCCCAUAGCUCCUUUACAGUACUUUUGAGGACACUCAUUUAAUUUUUUUCUGUGUAUUGAUCCUGAAACACAUGAAGCAAACAUUCAAGUUUGCAAAGACUCUAAGAGGAAGAAGCAAAUUGGUUGGGUACUGCUGUAUUGUCAAAAUGCCUUCUGUCUAACAGGAGAAUCCUCAGACUGUAUCCUGACCCAUGUUUCACACAAUUUGUCUUCUUUUAUUCCUGCCAAGAAAAAAUGUUGGGAAGAUCAUCUGGUGUGAUAGAAGUGUCCUAUAAAACUGAUCAAGUGGGAGAACUUGAAUGAUUGUAGGUUAAUGAGAUAAUAGGUUAAUGAGUUUCAAGGAAGACCAGGAGCUUAUCAACAUAAUGAACAGGCAAGUCUCUAGUCAAGGGGGAAUUGGUUAGGUAGGAAAAGGUGCAACAGAAUCAGCAAGAUUUUAGAUGCAUCUACACUGUAAAGAGAACUAUAGCAAAGUAACAAGGACAAAAACACGUAUAUGCAACACAUAUAAGAAUGUAAGCAACAUUAUUUCAGCACCAAGACUCAACUAAUCAUUUCUAUAACAUCAAUUCUGGGGAUAAUGCCACUUAAGAAGUUUGGGGUAGAAUUUUAUAUAGCAAGUUAUAUGCACUUUCACUGAAACCAAAAUAUAAUGACAUUUAGACUCAUUAAAUCUCUACACAAUAAUAGAAGGGAAAAAAACCAAGAAUAUUUCCAUCAGGCAUGGUCUAUGGCUAGCUUCUAAAUUAACAAGAUCAAGUGGAAGAAGCUUUUAGGGGAAAAAAGAGGGAAAAGUGUUUAAGUGUUAGCAGCAUCAUUUGACAGACAGGCUUUGAUGUUAAUGGCAGGUUUCUAACUUCUGAUUCACUGAAGAAAGAGAGUAAGACUAUACAACAGGCAAGCAGGACAUGUCUUUAGAUCCAGGAAGUUAAGACAUAGCCAAAGAAUAAUGUUUUCUUCAGUUUUGAACAAUUUUGGAAAACUGGCAAUAUGGCAGACAUUAAUCAUGACAUUAUGCAGUGUUUCAUUCCUAGAGAAAAAGGGAGACCAAACAAUAGGAGAGGCCUAAAAGCUUCUGCAAUAGUUGUAACUUCAAUUUUCAAAGAAAGAAAAACUUGAAAAUUUUGUCAUCUAGAAGACACCAAACUGAUAAGUAAUAAUGUCAAAAAGAAAUCCUGAUGAACCAACUGAAUUUUUUAACAUGAGAGCAAACCUGAGAGUUGGGUGAAAGCAGGUAUUUUGAAUUGGACUUUUGACUCUGUCCAAUAAGAUAUUCACUUGGCUUCUCCCGAAAGCACACUCUCGAUUAGCUUCACACAAAAUGGAUACGUAAUUGGAGAAAAAAUAUUUAAUAGGCCAAAAGUUAAAGGAUAUAAGUACUAUAGGGCAAUUUUAUGGUUGCAUAUUCUCCAACAUUUUUACUUAUUUAGGUUCCUGUUUUUCUAGGAAUCUAAAAAAAUACAAUGCAUUAAAUGUGCAAGACGUGUGGUUGUGAGCUUACUGUAAGUGGAAUAUUAGAAUGAAGGAUCUUGACAGAAGAAACAAAAGCAAACAGCAACAAUCAAAACAAAAGCAAAACUAAAAACAAAUGAAAAAUGACAAAACAAAGUGAAAAUACCAAGACAAACAAUAGGAGAAAAAACCUACAAAAAUCCUGUCCUAGACAGGAAAUAGUGGCAAUCAAAAUCAAGUAUACCUAGCAGUCAAUGGCAUGUCGUAUCAGUGCAAAUAAGAAUCUAAAUAAUUACUGUUUACAAAAAGAUAUUCAAUUGUACUUAAAUAAUGUUACUGAAAUACUAAAAGAUAGAAACUGACUUGUUUAAUAUUAAUCACAGAAAGUAAUAAUUCUGCUCUUCUCAGCACUAUAUGACCUCCCCAGGACUGCCAUUUCCAAUUUGGACAUUACGCAAUCAAAAAGAUGAGCCUUUAAGAAUUAUUAGACAAUAAAUGUGGAAACAUAAAAAUGUGAUUUGGCUUUUCAGGAGAAAUCUGUGGGAAAAACAUAAUGGCAAGCUUAAAAACCUGCUGAAAAAGAAGGAAGGGGAAAAACUUUUUCCAUGUC
Molecule: long non-coding RNA, 2847 nt
Organism: Taeniopygia guttata (zebra finch)
Lineage: Eukaryota; Metazoa; Chordata; Aves; Passeriformes; Estrildidae
Source: Ensembl